RNAcentral lists this ribosomal RNA (482 nucleotides) under uncultured bacterium. RNAcentral's name for it is "partial 16S ribosomal RNA". It matches the Rfam family "Bacterial small subunit ribosomal RNA", at positions 29 to 507 of the family's 1533-position model. The record is from RNAcentral.
AUUGAACGCUGGCGGCAUGCCUUACACAUGCAAGUCGAACGGUAACGGGCCUUCGGGUGCCGACGAGUGGCGAACGGGUGAGUAAUACAUCGGAACGUGCCCGAUCGUGGGGGAUAACGAGGCGAAAGCUUUGCUAAUACCGCAUACGAUCUACGGAUGAAAGCAGGGGACCGCAAGGCCUUGCGCGGACGGAGCGGCCGAUGGCAGAUUAGGUAGUUGGUGGGAUAAAAGCUUACCAAGCCGACGAUCUGUAGCUGGUCUGAGAGGAUGAUCAGCCACACUGGGAGUGAGACACGACCCACACUCCGCGGGGAGGCGGCGGGGGGGAUUUUGGGAGAAUGGGCGCAGCCUUACCCCAGCCAUGCCGGGUGAAGAAGAAAGGCCUUGGGUUUGAAAACUUUUUUUGUACGAAACAAAAACCUUUUUUUUAAUAAAGGGGGGCCAGGAGGGAACGGAAAAAAAAAGCCCCGGCUAACUACGUC